RNAcentral lists this ribosomal RNA (253 nucleotides) under uncultured bacterium. RNAcentral describes it as "partial 16S ribosomal RNA". It matches the Rfam family "Bacterial small subunit ribosomal RNA", at positions 524 to 776 of the family's 1533-position model. The record is from RNAcentral.
UACGUAGGGGGCGAGCGUUGUCCGGAAUUAUUGGGCGUAAAGAGCUCGUAGGCGGUCUGUCGCGUCGGAUGUGAAAAUCCAGGGCUCAACCCUGGACCUGCAUUCGAUACGGGCAGACUAGAGUUCGGUAGGGGAGACUGGAAUUCCUGGUGUAGCGGUGAAAUGCGUAGAGAUCAUGAGGAAGACCAGUGGCGAAGGCGGGUCUCUGGACAGUUCCUGACACUGAGGCACGAAGGCCAGGGGAGCAAACGGG